Molecule: ribosomal RNA, 497 nt
Filed under: uncultured bacterium
Lineage: Bacteria
Description: bacterial SSU rRNA
Rfam family: Bacterial small subunit ribosomal RNA
Source: RNAcentral
AGAGUUUGAUCCUGGCUCAGGAUGAACGCUAGCGGCAGGCCUAAUACAUGCAAGUCGAACGGUAACAUGAGAGCUUGCUCUUGAUGACGAGUGGCGCACGGGUGCGUAACGCGUAUGCAACCUACCCUUUACUGGGGGAUAGCCCGGAGAAAUCCGGAUUAAUACCCCAUGGUACUGUAAUGUAGCAUUACAUAGCAGUUAAAGAUUUAUUGGUAAAGGAUGGGCAUGCGUGACAUUAGUUAGUUGGUAAGGUAACGGCUUACCAAGACGAUGAUGUCUAGGGGUUCUGAGAGGAAGGUCCCCCACACUGGUACUGAGACACGGACCAGACUCCUACGGGAGGCAGCAGUAGGGAAUAUUGGUCAAUGGGCGGAAGCCUGAACCAGCCAUGCCGCGUGCAGGAUGACAGCUUUCUGAGUUGUAAACUGCUUUUAUAUAGGAACAAAUAGGCCAUGCGUGGCAAGUUGCGUGUACUAUAUGAAUAAGCACCGCUAACU